This 1133-nucleotide ribosomal RNA is filed under the name Mycolicibacterium sp. RNAcentral's name for it is "bacterial SSU rRNA". It matches the Rfam family "Bacterial small subunit ribosomal RNA", at positions 66 to 1216 of the family's 1533-position model. Lineage: Bacteria; Bacillati; Actinomycetota; Actinomycetes; Mycobacteriales; Mycobacteriaceae. The record is from RNAcentral.
ACGGAAAGGCCCUUCGGGGUACUCGAGUGGCGAACGGGUGAGUAACACGUGGGUGAUCUGCCCUGCACUUUGGGAUAAGCCUGGGAAACUGGGUCUAAUACCGAAUAUGACCGCGCACUUCCUGGUGUGUGGUGGAAAGCUUUUGCGGUGUGGGAUGGGCCCGCGGCCUAUCAGCUUGUUGGUGGGGUAAUGGCCUACCAAGGCGACGACGGGUAGCCGGCCUGAGAGGGUGACCGGCCACACUGGGACUGAGAUACGGCCCAGACUCCUACGGGAGGCAGCAGUGGGGAAUAUUGCACAAUGGGCGCAAGCCUGAUGCAGCGACGCCGCGUGAGGGAUGACGGCCUUCGGGUUGUAAACCUCUUUCAAUAGGGACGAAGCGCAAGUGACGGUACCUAUAGAAGAAGGACCGGCCAACUACGUGCCAGCAGCCGCGGUAAUACGUAGGGUCCGAGCGUUGUCCGGAAUUACUGGGCGUAAAGAGCUCGUAGGUGGUUUGUCGCGUUGUUCGUGAAAACUCACAGCUUAACUGUGGGCGUGCGGGCGAUACGGGCAGACUAGAGUACUGCAGGGGAGACUGGAAUUCCUGGUGUAGCGGUGGAAUGCGCAGAUAUCAGGAGGAACACCGGUGGCGAAGGCGGGUCUCUGGGCAGUAACUGACGCUGAGGAGCGAAAGCGUGGGGAGCGAACAGGAUUAGAUACCCUGGUAGUCCACGCCGUAAACGGUGGGUACUAGGUGUGGGUUUCCUUCCUUGGGAUCCGUGCCGUAGCUAACGCAUUAAGUACCCCGCCUGGGGAGUACGGCCGCAAGGCUAAAACUCAAAGAAAUUGACGGGGGCCCGCACAAGCGGCGGAGCAUGUGGAUUAAUUCGAUGCAACGCGAAGAACCUUACCUGGGUUUGACAUGCACAGGACGCCAGUAGAGAUAUUGGUUCCCUUGUGGCCUGUGUGCAGGUGGUGCAUGGCUGUCGUCAGCUCGUGUCGUGAGAUGUUGGGUUAAGUCCCGCAACGAGCGCAACCCUUGUCUCAUGUUGCCAGCACGUAAUGGUGGGGACUCGUGAGAGACUGCCGGGGUCAACUCGGAGGAAGGUGGGGAUGACGUCAAGUCAUCAUGCCCCUUAUGUCCAGGGCUU